CCCUUAGAUGUCCUGGGCCGCACGCGCGCUACACUGAUGCAUGCAACGAGUUUAUAACCUUGGCCUGAAAGGUCUGGGUAAUCUUUUGAACGUGCAUCGUGAUAGGGAUAGAUUAUUGCAGUUGUUAAUCUUGAACGAGGAAUUCCUAGUAAACGCGAGUCAUCAGCUCGCAUUGAUUACGUCCCUGCCCUUUGUACACACCGCCCGUCGCACCUACCGAUUGAAUGGUUCGGUGAAGAUCUCGGACUUCGAUAUUUAUUCUUUAUUGAGUUUAUAUUGUGGGAAGUUAUCUAAACCUCAUCAUUUAGAGGAAGGUGAAGUCGUAACA
Molecule: ribosomal RNA, 328 nt
Filed under: uncultured eukaryote
Lineage: Eukaryota
Description: partial 18S ribosomal RNA
Rfam family: Eukaryotic small subunit ribosomal RNA
Source: RNAcentral